CCUUGCUUCCAUGGCUGCCCGGCUUUCCUCCACAGGCAUUUCCCAUCACAAUCUUCUCCCUCACAUCCCCACCAUCCGUUCCUCCACAGUCAACAGCAGCCCCCGCCCUGGGAUCACUCCACACUCCCCAAACUCCAGCUCCCAGCUGCUGCACCUUCGAGGGGAACCUUCGUCCCUGGCCAGGAUGAUGAAUUUGUAGUGAAGGCAGAAGACCAAGGAUGAGGAGACAGCCAUCCAAAGUCCCAGGAGAGAUGGAAGAAACUGAUAUUAACGGUCAAGAAGAGGAGCUGGAUUUGACUUCAUGGUCUCUGCAGUUAUGACCACUCACUUCCUGUCUCUCUUGCUUUCUACAUCUGUCUGCUGUGCCUGUAACACCAACUUGGACCUCUGCUGCUAAAGCUUCAACUUCAGGGGUAUAAACAAAGAUCUCCUUUCAUUUACAGAGAGAGCAUUUUGCUCUGUUUACUAUUUUAGAAUAAUUUUUAAUAGAAUAGCCAAGAAGAAAAUGGACAAAAUAAAUCUACAAUUACAUGUUCAUACAGUGAUAGAGAGGUACCCUGAAUCCUUUCAUGGAAAGAAGGUGGUGGCAUUUCACACAAGCUGUUCCCAUCUACUUGUUCAUCUUAGAUGAGGAACACUCCUAUGAGUUGUUUGUGGAAGCCUGAGAUUUAACAAUAAUUAUUGUUUGGCUCUGAGAUGUUUGAAAUGAAGACAGAUGAUGUAAUAAGGAGAACAAAUGGGACUCCAUACUAGAAUUUUCUUUUACUUUAACCUUUGUAUUUUAUUGCCUUCACUUGAAGUUAAGAAUGCUGCCUAUAGUCUGAAAUGUAUAGGAUAGCCCAUUCUCAAGACUCUGAUCUUCAAGAGUAUAACAUUUUUCCUUUCAUACAGAGUUAAAAAGUUGCAGAAGAGAGAAUAAUAUUUUCUUCUCGGAGGUUACAGGAACAUCAUGACCUCACCUGCAUGGACAGUUACAAGAACAAAGGAUUCCGACACCAAGAAGUUUGC
This is a long non-coding RNA of Cervus elaphus (red deer), 1008 nucleotides long. RefSeq lists it as uncharacterized. NCBI's taxonomy places the organism in Eukaryota, Metazoa, Chordata, Mammalia, Artiodactyla, Cervidae. The transcript is spliced from 3 exons. The record is from RefSeq and is a predicted model, not a curated record.